Molecule: ribosomal RNA, 326 nt
Filed under: uncultured eukaryote
Lineage: Eukaryota
Description: partial 18S ribosomal RNA
Rfam family: Eukaryotic small subunit ribosomal RNA
Source: RNAcentral
CCCUUAGAUGUUCUGGGCUGCACGCGCGCUACACUGAUGCACUCAACGAGUUUACGACCUUGCCCGAUAGGGUUGGGUAAUCUUUUUAAAAUGCAUCAUGAUGGGGAUAGAUUAUUGCAAUUAUUAAUCUUCAACGAGGAAUUCCUAGUAAGCGCGAGUCAUCAGCUCGUGCUGAUUACGUCCCUGCCCUUUGUACACACCGCCCGUCGCUCCUACCGAUUGAGUGCUCAGGUGAAUAAUUCGGACUGCAGCAAUGUUUGGAUCCCGAACGUUGCAGCGGAAAGUUUAGUGAACCUUAUCACUUAGAGGAAGGAGAAGUCGUAACA